CCUACGGGCGGCAGCAGUGGGGAAUAUUGGACAAUGGGCGAAAGCCUGAUCCAGCCAUGCCGCGUGUGUGAAGAAGGCCUUCGGGUUGUAAAGCACUUUCAGUGGGGAAGAAAGCCUUGGGGCUAAUACCCUCGAGGAAGGACAUCACCCACAGAAGAAGCACCGGCUAACUCCGUGCCAGCAGCCGCGGUAAUACGGAGGGUGCGAGCGUUAAUCGGAAUUACUGGGCGUAAAGCGCGCGUAGGCGGUCUGUUAAGCCGGUUGUGAAAGCCCCGGGCUCAACCUGGGAACGGCAUCCGGAACUGUCAGGCUAGAGUGCAGGAGAGGAAGGUAGAAUUCCCGGUGUAGCGGUGAAAUGCGUAGAGAUCGGGAGGAAUACCAGUGGCGAAGGCGGCCUUCUGGACUGACACUGACGCUGAGGUGCGAAAGCGUGGGUAGCAAACAGGAUUAGAUACCCCAGUAGUC
Molecule: ribosomal RNA, 465 nt
Filed under: Vreelandella stevensii
Lineage: Bacteria; Pseudomonadati; Pseudomonadota; Gammaproteobacteria; Oceanospirillales; Halomonadaceae
Description: partial 16S ribosomal RNA
Rfam family: Bacterial small subunit ribosomal RNA
Source: RNAcentral